CAAGGUUAUAAAAAAAAACCCCAAACUCCGCCCGCCGCCGCGGCUGCUGCCGCCGCCGCCGCCCAGGGCCUCAGGUUGGACGCAAGCCAAAGACCCCGGAGCCCGGAUUACCCCGCCUCGCGAAGGGCGCCCGUGUUCUGCCUGCUUUUAUGGCUGCAUACCAUGUGCAUACAGUGUCUGGGAGGCCAGACGAGGGCACCAGAAACUGGAGUUACAGAACGUUAUGAGGUGCCAUAUGGGUUCUGGGGACCAGACUCCGUGUCCUCUGAAGAACAACCAGUGUUCUUAGCUACUCUGCUAUCUUUCAAACCCUGUCUAUCUAUUUUUGAAUAGUUGGGUCUCAUUGUGUUGCCCGUGUUGGCUGGGAAGUUCUGUGCUCAACCGUUCCUCCUUCCUCAUCCUCUUGAGCACCUGAGACAAGGGUUACACAGCAUAGAGCUUGAAUGGGGUGGGAUUUAAGAUCAGUACAGUUGUAGUCAACAGGAAAAGGAGGCCUCCUACAAGCAUAAAAACAGCCAGUGAAGGAGACCGUGGCCCCAGGGCCAUCGUUCUUUCAGCUCCCAGCAGGCUGUUCCAGAAAACCACAGCUGAGCUUUUAUUCAUUCACCCCAUCUUUAUUGAUGACUAAUUUGUGCCAGGUGUCCUCCCUAGUAUUGUGAAGACCAGGAGCAAGGGCCCAUUCCACUGAAGAUAUAGACUCUGCCUCAGGGCCUUUGAGCCUGCUCUUCCCAUUGCCUGCUCAUUCUUGUUGGAAUACGAGUGAGUAUCAAGUCUGUAUCAAGCCGAUUUUGUCUUUCCAGUCUCAACCCAAACAUCAUCUUCUGCAAGCCUGUCCUGACCUCACACUUCAAUGUCACACCCUCCCACGUCCCUUUUCCCGUUUCCUGGUUUAUUUUACUCCUGCCAGAAGUCACUGUCUAGUCUACUUCAGAAAAUGCUUGUUUGUUUUUAUUGAUAAUCCAUCUUGUCCACCAAAAGACCAGUUCAUGAGGGAAGGAUCUUUUGUCUUCCAUUUAUUUAUUUUCAAAUUUUUUAUUUGGGGGGUUAUAAUAAAAUUACAUUAUUUCUCCCUUUCCUUACCUUCUCCCAACAUCUUCCAUGUACCCCCUACCCAGGUCUUUCAAAUUCAUGGCCUCUUUUCCCUCUUUUACUUUCUGAGGAUAAGUAAAGAAAGUAUAUGUAUGUGUAUGUAUGUAUAGAUGUAUGUAUGAUUAUGUUAAUAAUUCAACCUCCUUUGGGAAUGUUUAACCAUUUGGUGUUGGAUAACCAGUUGGUGUGCCCUUCCCUGGGGAAGACCAUUUCUCCCUUUCUCGGCAUUCUUUAGUUGCCUGUAGUUCUUUGUUUGGGAUUUCCCCCUUCUGUGUUAUUCCCUGUUCAAAUUGUGUCUAGGCAGUCAUGCUUGUGAGAUUUUACCAAUGUAACAGUCUUAUAGCAAACUUCCUGACGUUCUGACUUUUACUAUCCUUUUGCCCCUUCUUCUUUGAGCCUUUGUGUGGGAGUGUUUUGUAAAUAUAUCCACCCUGGGCUUGACAACUGCCUUUUGAUCCUUUGUGAUUUUCUGUAAUAUCCUCUGUCUGUUGCAAAGAGGUCUCCUUGAUGAGAGGCCAGAACUACCCUUAUGUGUAUGUAUAAGGGAAUGUAGUUUUUCUCAUCUCUGGGGUUCGCAGGAAUAUCCCCUAGAAUCUUAUAGAGUGUUGAAUAAAUAAUAAUUGAAAGAAUGAGCUGAUAGAAGGCAGAGUGGUGACACGGUGCUUUUGUUUAUUUAGUUUUGUUUUUUGAGACAUAGUCUCAUAUAACCCAGGCUGGCUUUGAAUAUGUUGUUUAGUUGAGGAUGACCUUGAACUCCAGAACCCUUUGACUCUACCUCCCAAGAGCAGGAAGACACCCUGGACCACCGAGUCCUGCCGAUGCACUUUGAAUGUUAAUGAUUUGUUCUAGGACAAGGAUCAGUAAGGGCAAAGCUUAUGUGACCAAUAGUGUUUUAAGUCAGCUUGGACUGACUUUUAAAAGCUCUUUUAGGGGAAGAUGUAAUUUACAGUGAAUGUUUAGAAUUCUAAGAGAUCACACUGCAGGUCUGCCACUUAGGGUGCAGUGGAAUCCUAUUGUUACUUUAGGACUUUGGAAUAUGGCAAAAGGGGUAGUUAAUAACAAUAUGUCGAGCCUUAUCUUUGUGUGUGCAUGUGUAGUUUGUGUAUGUGUGUGUGUCUACACUCACUCAAUUGUGUGUGGGUACAGAUGGAGGACAGAGGUUAACCUUUGGUCUCCUUCUUCUCCACUUUUUUAAUUGUUAUUUUUUUUUAAAAAAAAGGAUUUACGUUAAAUUAUGUGUAUGUGGUUAUGAGUGUAUAUGUACAUGUGUGCAGGUAGGUGCCGCCCAUAGAGGUCAGAGGUGUUGCCUCCCCUUGGACCAUAAGCCUGGGAAGUGAGCUCAGGCCCUCUGCAAGACAUUUUAGCUGCUGAACCAUCUCUCCAGUCCCAUAUAUUUUGAUUUUGUUUUGUCUUUCUUGGGACAGGGUUUCUCUGUGUAGUUCUGGCUGUUCUUGAACUUGUUCUGUAGACCAGGCUGACCUCUGCUUUCCUCUGCCUCCUGAGUGCUGGGAUUAAAGGCCACCACCACCCAGCAUAUCUUUUGAUAUUUUAAAGACAAGUUCUUAUGUAUUUCAGGCUGGCUUCAAACUCUCUGUGUAGCUUAUGUUGGUUUUAAAAUCUUGUUUCUCUAGCCUCCAUCUCCCAAGUGCUAGGAUGACAGGCAUGUGCUACAUUUAUGACAUGGUUCCUAUCAUUGGGACUUGAGGCACAUUGAUUAGGGCUAGACUGUCAGGCCAGUGAGCCCCAGGGAAUUCUCCUGUCUUUGCUCCAUAGUGCCUGGAUUAUAAGUAUGUAGCUCCUUACCUGGCUUUUUUUGCAUGUGUGCUAUGACUGAACUACAGGGCCUCAUGUUUAAUGCAGCCAUCUCCCUAGCCUUGAGGCCGGUUUUCCCUUCACACCCACCUUGUGCAGUAGUCACUGCCUAUUUCUCACAUGGAGAAGCAGUGGCACCCCAAGGGUGACAAAUUGCUAUGGUCACACAUUUCUCGAGUGAUAAACAACCAGAAAAGAACAACUAGUCACCCAGACCCAAGGAAGGUGACAUCAGGUGCUGCAGACGCUCCCCUCAGGGUAGGAGGGAGUCCCAGAGGUCUCUGGAACUGAGUUGGUGAGGGAUGACCUCCUUUCUAAUGAUAUGUCCUUCUAGACCAUUUGCCAGGUGUUUUUCCCAGAUGGCUUAGAGGCCUCUUAAAUCUGGAGACCAAACUAUGUACUAAAUGAUCAUGUGAAUAAAAACAAACCAACACCAACACUUCCACCCGAUUUAGAGGAUAUUCUAGCAGCAUAGAAUAUUCACAGAGCUUAGGCAAGAAGUCUUAUGUUAGCCAGGCUCUCUAGAGGAACAGAACUUACGACAUUAAUAUAUAUUGAAAGACUAAUCACACUUGAGUUUGGCUCAAGCACUUAAUAUUUAAAAAGCCAAGUGCAGUGUUGGGCACCUAAGAUCCAGUCCCCAUGUGGGGAGGCAGAGACAGGAGGAUUCUCGGGGCUCACUGGACAGCACUAUAGUUCAAUUAGUGAAUUCCAGGUUCAAGGAGAUACUCUGUCUCACAAAGUAACCAUAGACAGUCUACGUUCUAUUAGUAGAACGUGUUCCUCAGCAUGCAGCACUAUCUGGGUUUGAUUUCCAGCAGUGCAUACAACUGGGCGUAACUGUUCACAGCUGCGAAGCAUCCCAUCUCUGGGAGAUGAAGGCAGAACUAGAUGCUCAAGGUCGUGAGCCUGUGAGGUGGCUCACUGUGGAAAGGGGCUUGCUGCUAAACGUAACUUGAAUUUUAACCCCAGAACCCACAUCAAGGGGAGGAGAGAAACAAUUUCUGGAAGUUGUCCUCUAAUCUCCACAUAUUUAUACACACACACACACACACACACACACACACACACACACACACUACAUGAAUGUAAGAAUUUAAAACGUUCAAUCAGGAUCAUCAGCUCUGUAACGAGUUUGAGGCAGGCGUGGGAUACAUGAGACUCAAAAAAAAAAAAUGUAAGAACACUUAACUGUUCUUGCAGAAGACUCAGACUUGGUUCCUGAUACCCAAAUGAUGACUCACAACCAUCUGUAAUUUCAGUGCUAGGGGAUUUGAUGUUUGUUAUGGCUUCUGCGAGUUCCAGGAAUGCUUGUGGUACGCAUACAUACAUGCAGGCAAAAACAUUCAUGCACAUAAACUGUAUCUUUAAAAAGUUUGUAGAAGGUUGUGUGUGAUGAUGUAUGCUUUGAAUCUUAGCAGCUGAGAGGCAGAGGCAGGUGGCUUUCUGUGUGUUCAAAGCUGGCCUGGUCUACAUAGUGAGUUCCUGGAUGUCAGGGCUAUGUAGAGAAACCCUGUCUCAAAAAUAAAUUAAUAAAUAAAUAAUGUAAAGAAUGACUAAAGAAGAUACUUGAUGUGGACCUCUGACCUGCACAUUUGUGUUCAUACAGACUUGGAAAGAUUCCCAUCAUUUGUUUAUAUAAAUACUGCUUUUAUAUAGAGAUGUUUCAGAGAGGAAUAUCAAAGUAGUGUGAGGCACGCUUAAGGCUCAAGUGUAUCUAGCAUUUCCUUUCCCUGCUGUAAACCUUCGGUUUUUCUAGGAAUCUUAUAAACACCCCCAUAUACAGGAAAGGACAAAUCUUAACCCCUUUGUGCAACCCUGUGACCCAGGGUUUCAUUUUAAAUACUGUCCCAGGCACCUUAGAGCUACCCUACAAUCUCAUUCGUCAAAAAAAGUGAGGGGAACGGGGAUAAAUUCUUAUAGCUGGAACUGUAAAGCUGCAGUGCAACUUUUGAGCCACUGAAAUUGUUUAUGUGGCUCAUGUUAAGACACUCGAAUGACUCUCCCUUGAGAAAUUUACAUCCAUAUUAGAUACGGCGAACCCUUUUCCUGAGCAGCCUGUACUUAAGUUUGGGUUAAGCCCUCUUCCUAAUAAACUUCAACUGUGCUUCAUACUGGCUUGUCCUGAAUAUUUUGUUGCUGGUGUUGGUUUUUUGUUUUGUUUUGUUUUGUUUUUGUUUUGUUUUGUUUUGAGACAGAGUCUCAUUGUGUAGCCCUGGCUGUCCUGUAACUCACUAUAAGUCAGGCUGGACUCAAGUUCAGAGAUCCAUCCACUUCUGCCUCCCCUGCAUUCAGGGGUUACAGUGCACACCACCAGAUCUGGUCCCUGGAAUUUUCUGCAGCACAGUCAAGAGUCCCAGUCUUCCUGUGAGUAACGGUCUCUGAAAAGAACUUUUCAUGGCCUGAGGACAUGACUGAAUUGGUAAGGGACUUAAGUGUGCAAGCAUGGGGAGCAGGAUUUGGCAGGUUCCUUGGCACAUAGAAGCUGGGACAUGCUUGCACAUAUUUGUGACCCCGAUGUAAGGGAGGCAGGGUGGGGGGCAGAGAUAAUGGAUCCCUGAAAUUUAUAGCCAGCCAUUCUAACCGAUUGGUGAGCUCUGGCUUCAAUGACAGACCCUGUUUCUUAAAACUAAGGCAGGGCUAAAGGGAUGGCUCAGCAGUUAAGAGGGCUUGCUAGUCUUGCGGGGAUGUCAGAUUUGAUUCCCAGUAUCCUCAUCAGGGAGCUCACAAUUACCUGUAGUUCCAGUUUCAGGGGAUCCAGUGUUCUGGCCUCUAAGGAUAGCUGUAUGCCCGCGCGCGUGCGCACGCACGCACUCUCUCUCUCUCUCUCUCACACACACACACACACACACACACACACACACACACACAAAUAAAGAUAGACUAAGAGUGGUAGUAGAAGAUACUUCAUGCCCACCACAUGUGCACCCCUCCUCUUCAUCCCAACCCCCCCCCUUGGGUCUUUUCUUUCAUCUAGCCCCUAUAAGUUGGCCCUCAAGUGGGUGACAUUUUACAAAGAGGAUUUCAUUCUCCAGACUCAGGCUUUAUCUCAGUGGGUCGAGUGUUCUUUUCUGGCAUGGAUAAAGCCCUGGGUUCUGUCUCUAUCACAGCAUAAACCAAAUGUGGUUUACACAUUAAUGGUUCUGAAACUCUAGAGGUAGAAAGGCAAGGGAAUAAGUAGUUCAAGGUCAUCCUGGGAUAUAUAGCAAGUUUGAGGCCAGCCUGAGCUAUACAAGACUUUAUCUUAAAUAUAAGAUCUGUGUAUGAAGAUUUCAUUUGCUCUUAUGGUUCGAAUGUGAGACGUCCCCCAUCGUCUCCUGUGAACACUUGGUCCCUAGCUCGUGGGACUGUUUUAAGAGAUUGUGGAAUCUUUGGGACCAAGCUUAGUUUGUAGAGGUAGGUCGCUGGGUAGGCCUCAAAGGUGUUAUCUACUUCUGGUUCUGGCCAGAGGCUUCUGCUUUCUGAUCUUCCAGUGGAAGAGGAUUGGCUGCCUCAUGUUCCUGAUGCUGUGAUGGACUGCACCCCUUGAAACCACGAGUCAAAACAAACCUUUCCUCCCUAAAUUGCUUCUGUCAGAUAUUUUGUCACAGCCGAUGAAACUGCAGGUUGUGGGCUUGAAUACUACUUUUUCUAUAAUUUAAUUUCUCUAUAGUUUCUUAUAUGGAAAAUAAGCCUAAUGGCUUGGUGUGGUUGUACACCAAGUAGUGACUCACAACUGCCUUUAAUUGUCACCAGAGGAUCUAGCAUCCUUUUCUGGCCUCUGUAGCCAGCUGCACUCAAGUGCUCACACCAUACACAUGCACAUGCACAUGCACCUAUGGGCUUGCACAAGCACAUCAUUAAAGAGCAAAAAUAAAUAAAAAAAGCAAUAACCCCCCCACCCCGCCCGACACACAAAACACAACAAUGAAAUGAACUAGAACACUGUGGAUCUCAUAGUCUCUGCAGGGUCUCAGGUGAGUGUCAGGUUGGGAAGUUUGCAUGUCUGGUCAGAAUUUGUUGGCAAAUGCCAUUGUGGAUAAGCAGAAGGUGUCCGAGUACAUAGGCCAAAUGACAGCAAUAAGGAUGAGGAAGAGGCAGGGGAUGAUUUUGACCAGGUAUAGUCGAAUGGAUCUGGGUCUCCCCUAUGGGCCCACAUGAUAUGCAAUUAGUUGGGGCCAUGGCCGUUCGGGGCAUUGUUCCAUGGAACUGCGGUUAAAAGAACACAUAGUGCUAUCCUAUAUAGACCUUGCCAGAGCCUUGAACACAUUCCCAUGCUUUGCACAGCUCUCCAAUUUACACUUCGAUACCAACCCCCAACCUUUUGGAAUCAUCUUUUAAGGGCACUGAGGAUUUUUGCAAGUAAUACUGGAAGUGGUAUCUUAGCACAAAGGGUAACGCUUGAAUAUGGAAUUUCAAGGAGGCAGAGACUUCUGGCCAAACAUCAAAGGUUUCUCCUUGGUUACUCUCCUCUGAGAACCUGGGCACUGAGAACAAGGCUGGCUUCCUGUAGUUCUCUCUGUGGUGGCCCAUUCGGGUUGCAAACUUUGGACAGGCCAAAUUAGGAAGUCAGGGAAAGACUGUGCAGGGUCAGGCCAAACUGAAAGGAGUCUGGGCUGACGAAGAAGGGGCUAAUGGAGACAGAGAGGAAGGUCCCGGACUGGAGUUUGGCUGCAGCCCUUGGAUCACGUCUUUUGAUCUGAGGUGGGGGUGGAGGAUGUCCCGAGUCUUUCGGGAAGACUGUGGAGUCCCCUGGGAUAAGAUCCAGGGGUUAGCUCAGCAGAGAAAUAUUUGAUUUCUCCUAGCUCCUCUCUCCUUCCCCAGUAUGGGGUCACAGUGGGUGACUGCAGAUGGUCCCACUCUUUUGAAAGUAAACACAGUGCCUGGUCUUCUUGGCUUGCCCCCAAACCAGCUUCCUUUAGUCUGUGCACCUCCGCAUAUUUGCAGCAUCUUUGUUUUGGAAAAGAAGGAAGAGAGGAAACCCUGGGGAUUUGAUCAGUCCUGGCUUUACUCCCCCUGAAUCCAGGCAACAUUCUAGAAAAACUCAGGGAAACUGAGAGGAAUGCAGGACUGACUAUCCCUAGCCUGUGGUGUGGUGGCUGCCAUCGUUGCUGUUGUUAUUGGAUAUAAAGCAGGGAAUCUGGGGAGAAGCAAGUCUGUCCGAGAACAACUGGAGUGAGCAGGUUCUCUCUUUUCCCCACAUGGAUCCCAGCUAUCAACUCAGGUUGGUAAGUCUUACACUGUGGGAAGGGGAGCUUCAGACUAACACUAAGCAAGUCUAAAAUACCAGAAAACGCAUGCUUCAGCUCUGACCAGCAUUUGAGAAAGACAGAGGAGAGAAAAAUAAGAAAAAGGGGAAGCCAUCUUAUCAUCUCCUUUAUUGAAAGAGGAAAAAAAUGGGGUAGGGGUGUUUUAGUUGCUGUUCCAUUGCUGUGAAGAGAUACCAUGACCAUGGCAACUCUUAUAAAAGUAAGUAUUUAAUUUAAGUGCCAGAGGUUUAGUUUAUUGUUAUCAUGGCAUGCAGGCAGACAUGGUGCUAGGGAAGCACAGGUUCUACAUGUGGAUCAGCAGGCAUCAGGAAGAAGGAGACACUGGGGCUGGCUUGGGCUUUUGAGACCCCAAAGCCUACCUACCCCAACUGACAUACUUCCCUCAGCAAGACCAUACCUAAUCUCUCUCAAAUAGUGCCGUUCUCUAAAGACCAAGCAUUCAAAAAAAAAAAAAAAAAAAAAGAGCCUACGGGAGUAUUCCUGUUCAAACCACCACACUUAGCAACCUUCAAAAGCCACCAAAAUCCAAAAUUGUAUAUAUAGUGACUGCUAAGACACAAGGGCAAUCUCCUUUCAGAAGCCCUGUCUGUUGGAGGCAUGGACCUGAUUCCCCAUUGUAGUAUCCUGGACACCUGUUGAAGUAUCCAUUUUUUUUUUCUGUCCUGUGGCAAAGCACCAAAUGGGGGCACAUGGUUGAAAAUAGAAAUAGAGCCAGUUUAUUAGGAAAGGAAAAGCAUUCCUGAGAAUGGGAGAGGCCUUGUGAGCCAAGAGAGCAACAGGCUCCAAAGUGCCAGGCCAUAGGUGCAUGGUGACCUUUAUAGAUGCACACAGGCCUCUGUUCCACAGUCUGUUACAUUGAGCCCAGAUGAGGAAGAACAUCCAGAUCUGCCAAGUGACUUUUUUUUCAAGACAGGGUUUCUCUGUGUAACCCUGGAUGUCCUGGAACUUGCUCUGCAGACCAGGCUUGUGUCAAAUCUAUAGAGAAUCCACCUGCCUCUGUCUCUCAAGUGCUGAGGUUAAAGUCACGAGCCAGCACUACCCACUGACUGACUACCCAGCUGCCAACUGACUUCUUAAGUUAAAAAAAAAUUCUCUUUUUAUAUUUGUUUACUUUUUCUCUAUGUGGGUACAUAGAUCACGGUGUAUGUAUGGAGGAAAACUUGGAGUUGGUUCUCUCCUUCCAUUAUAUAAGACCAAAAUCAAUUCAAAUCGUCAAUAUGGGCAGCAAAUGCCUUUACCCAUUGAAUUAUCUCUGAAGCCUUUGUGGGCUCUCUCUCGCCUCUAAAGAGCCAUUUAUUGACCACCUCUGUGUGAGGCCUAGCACGUUCAGGACCUAGUAAGUUCCUUUUGGGAUGUGUAGAGCUCUGUCUGGUUCCCACUGACCUGAAGGCAAAGAACAUUAUCUGUUCUGCUGAAAGCCUUCAGUGAAGAUUUCUCCUUUGCUGCAUUCUGUCUGAUUCAUGUUUCCAUCAGUGUGGUUUAAAAUUACCUUGGUGCCCACAGUGGUGCCCACCUUCAAUCCUAGCACCUGGGAGACAGAAGCAGAUUAAUAUCUGUAAAUUCAAGGUCAGCCUCUACAGAGGGAAUUCUAGGCCAGCCAAGGCUACAGUGAGACCUCAAAAACAAAACAAAUCCCAACACUCCUGAUUCAUGAUUUCCUUCGUUUUACACUAUAAGGAUUUCAUUAAACUGUUAUAACAUUAAAAUAUGGAAUUCAGGGUAGUCUGGAUAUGCGGUCCCCAUAUCCAGGUUAUGAAUGUGAAUAGGCACAAUAUGACUCCAGAAUAAGCUGUCCUUUGUUCUCCUUGAGAUUAUCUGUGCAGUAUGCUGGACGGUGGUAGCACCAUCUACCUGUACGAGAACAGGGGUUGCAGUUUAGGCUUCAGUCCUUGGAGAGGUGACUCUUGGGAAAUGAGGAUGGUGCUUAUACAGAGCCUGAGAGGGGGAGGUGGGAGCAUUCUUGGUAGAGAAACAAAGAAGUGCAAAGCCCCCAGGGCAGGAAUUUAUUUGGCUGUUCAAUGGCAAUGGGACUGGAGAGAUGGCUCAGUGGUUAGAAGCACCACUUUUGCAGAGGGCCCAUUUUGGCUCCAGGGGUUCUGAUGGCUCUGGCUUAUGAGGACACACGGAUACACACACACACACACACACACACACACACACACACACACACACACACACACACACAGAAACACAGAGAGGGGUGGAUGUCAAAGGACAAUUUUAAGAGUAGUUCUCUCCUUCCACAGGUGGGUUUAGGAUGGAGCUCAGUUUGUCUUUCUUGUUGGCAAGUGUCUUUGCCUGUUGGGUCCCAUGUCACAGGUCAGGAAUCAAGUUCUUAACCCCUUAAGCUGUUAUGUGAAUAACUCCUGUGCAGAACUACCUUAUAAAGACUGUAAUAUUCAUAUAAGGUAAGUUAGAUAGCUCAGUGAAUAAGGGAGCUUACUGUCAAACCUAACGAUCUGAGUUUGAUCCAUGGCAUCUAGAAGGUGGAGGGAGAGAGCCAACUUCCCUGUGCUGUCCUCUAACUUCCACACAUGCACCGUGGCACGUGUAUGUGCACGCACACAGGCACGCACACACACACACACACACACACUACAUAAAUAAAGAAGUGUAAAAAAUGAAGUGAUGGCUCACUGGCGUAUACUGAGCGUGCAUGAAAUAUUAGGUUAUCAUUAUGUGUGGUAGACUUGUGUAUUUUGGGGUGUGUCUGAUGUGUAGCCAAGCCCAGGACUCAAGAAAGAAUUUAACACUAUUUAACCCCAACCCUCCCUGCUGGGUGUUCGAAAGGCUUGCUGAGGUUGUGACUUUCUGGCUGGAGACAGCUCUUUUGUAUAGCAGAUGUUACCCAGCCAUCAAGCCAGGGUCAAUUGGAGAUUUGGCGCCUGCCUCUCUCCCACGGCCUGCCUGCGAGGGAGCCCAGUGCCCUCCCUGAGAUGUCUGUGAAUUCCCAGGGCCUCUGUUCUCAUGGUUGCAUCUUGGCUUAAGUCCCUGCCUGCUGCCUGCUCCUGGGGGCUGUCUUUGGCGGGGUGGGGGGAACCAGCCCAGUUUGUUCAUUCUCCCCCAGACCAGCCUUGUUUAUGCAUCCAAUUGCUUGCAGGUCCAUAACUCCUCCAAAACACAGUGCCCUCCCUGACAUCCCACCAUUCCAAGGGUUCUGACAUUGUUUAGCUUCCUCCAGUAAGAUCUAGCCUGACAAAGAAUUCCAGUGCUGGCAGGAAAAACUUGCACAGUUCUUGCAUAACACAGCCAAGAGUGUUAUGACUGGCUUAGAGCUAAACAGGCUGUUGAGAGAUGGGGAAAUCUCACUGAGGACACCCAAGGUCAAUGGCUGUGUGAGGACACCGGACAGGCCUUUUCCUUGGCAAGCUGGCAUAAGACCAAGUGAGGUUAGGAGUCCAGUCUGCAGGCGGCACAGGGGCUGGUACAGUACUAACAUCAGGGCUUGCUCUCAGAUUGAGGUAGUGACACAGGGAGACAAAGGGAGCAGUUAAUCCCGGGUCAGUAUCAAAAAAUCAUCUGUUAGUGGUUUUUUUUGGUGGUGGUGGUGCUGGUGAGCUGAAGGAGGAGGCACAAGUCCCUAGAUGUUAUCCUCAGCAGACUGAGAUUUCAUAGACUUCAGGGACUUUCACUCAGACCAAACUGAGAUUUGUGGCUGCAAAUCAGAUAAGACUUUUGGGACUAGCCAGUUUAUAAAGAUUUGGGAUUUAAUUUAAAUACAUACAGUUACACACAGACAGACAGACAGACAGACAGACACACACACACACACACACACACACACACACACACACACGGGUUGGUGAGCUGGUUUAGUUGAUAAAGUGUGCUUGUAGCCAAGCCUGACUUUCGAAGUUCAAUUCCUGGGAUGCACAAAAAGGUAGCAGGCAAGAACUAACUCUACAAACUGCCCCUGUUCCCUACACCUGCCUCUGUCCCUGUCUCUCUGACCCUCUCGUGCACACUGUAAAAAUAACAAGUAAAAGUAUACGUAUAAAGAUUUCAUUUAUUCCCUUGGGCUGGGAAGUUCAGGGUAGAGGGCAAGAAUGCCAGCCAUACCCAGUAAUAGGAGAUACCACUUCCUGUAACUGAGGGAUGCUGGGAGGACCUGGCCUCCUGUUAAAUAGGUACCUCAGGCACUCAUCCCCUGGUCUGAAACCCAACACACAGCACGCAUAGAGACUAGAGAACAACUUUCAAGAGUCGGUUGUCUCUUACCUCAUGGGUUCCAGGAAUUCAACUCAGGAACUUAGCUGAUUCACCUUUACCAACCCAAGAUUCCUAAAUAUAGCUGCACCCACGAGGCUUAAGAGGAAGAGAAACACCCAGAAAACAGACAAUGUUGAGAGAAGGGGUGCGGCUAUUCAAAGAGGAGUCAGGGAGCUUAAGACCCAUCUACGGAUGGGCAUGAGCUCCUCGCUGGGGAAUCUUAGCCCAUCGUUGCUUUGUUUCAGCUUUGAGACAGAUUUCUCACUAGCUACGCCUGGCCCAGAACUCACAGGGAUUCACUUGCCUCUGCCUCCUGAGUGUUGGGAUCAAAGGUGUGUGCCACCAAACCCCUCCACAUUGAGAAUCUGAUGGCGAUAUCUUUAAAGGAUUGCUAUAGCUGGGUGGGCCUUAGGAGUCAUCUGAUAGGAUCAUAAUUGAUAAGGUAAAGUCUGGCUCCCAGGGAUGUUUUUACUGCAAGCAAAAUUGACAGGAAUUUGGCUAUUUAUUUAUUUAUUUCUGUUUUUUAAACAUUCUUAAGCAGUGUCCGGGGAAAGGAAUGGGGCCCUGCCCAAGCUUGUAUGUAUUUAGGGAUUGAGCUUGGCUUAUUGUUAUUUUAAUAUGGAAUCUCUAUGUAUGAAAGCAAUAUCAACUCUGUGUCAUCAGCCUUCACACCAAAUAUUUCACUGGGAUUCUUUUUUCUCAAACUGAUGUGAGGGGUCCAUUUCCUUUGCUUUCUUAUAUCUCCAUAAUUUAUAAUUCUUCAUUAAAAAAAUCUUAUUUUAUUUGUAUGGUUGUUUUGUCCUUGUGCAGGUCUGGUGCUCUGGGACUGGGUGGGGUUUCAGAGGGUCGUGAGCCUCCAUUUGGAAACCGGGAGCUGACCCUGGGUACAGUGGAAGAGCAGGCAGCAUUCUUAACUCUGAAUUAUGUCUCUAGCUCAGUCAGCAACCAGGCAUCUUUCUAGCCAGUUCCCCAGGGACCUGGGAACAAGAAGACACAUUGUUGCCCUCGCUGCCUGUCUUCUUGCACGUGCACGGUGGCCCCCAUAAAAAGCUGAGUUUUUCCUCUCCCCACCCCUUCUUCCCCUUCUCCCCCCACAGGCAUCCUCUGUCCCCCACCCUUUUAAUUAAGCUCCCACCUGAGACCUGUUGUAUGAUAUGAUUUUAUUGGACCCCACCACUUAGUUCUAUCAGAGUUUACAUAAGAAUGAAGCAUCGCUCAGGAUGAUAUUCUCAAGUUUCUUCCGUUUGCUGCAACAUUCAUGAUGUUUUUGUUUUUACUAGCUGAAUAGUAUUCCAUUGUGUAGAUAUACCACAUUUUCUGUAUCCAUUCUUUACUUGAGGGACAUCUAGGUUUUGUUCAGUUUUUGGUUAUUAUGAUUAAAGCUACUGUGAGCAUAGUUGAACAAGUAUCUUUGUGAGAUGUUGGAGCACUGUUUGGGGAUAUGCCCAGGAGUGGUUUGUAUAGCUGUAUUUUGAGGUAGAACUAUUCCAAGUUUUCUGAGAAACCACCAAAUUGAUUUUCCAAAGUGGUUGUACAAGUUUGCACUUUCACCAGCAAUGGAGGAGUGUUCCCCUUGCUCCACAUCCUUGCUAGCAUGUGCUAUCUCUUGAGUUUUUUUUUUUUUAAAGAGUUAUUUAUUCAUUUAUUAUAUAUAAGUACACUGUAGCUGUCUUCAGAUACACCAGAAGAGGGCAUCGGAUCUCUUUACAGAUGGUUGUGAGCCACCAUGUGGUUGCUGGGAAUUGAACUCAGGACCUCUGGAAGAGCAGUCAGGUGCUCUUAACCGCUGAGCCAUCUCUCCAGCCCUAUCUCUUGAGUUUUUGAUCUUAGCCUUUCUGAUGGACCCUUGGGGCUCUCAGAGUCUGAACCACCAACCAAAGAACAUGCAUGGGCUGGACCUAGGCCUGCCCACACAUUUGUAGCAGAUGUGCAGCUUGACUUUCAUGUGGGUCCCAGACAACUGGAACAGGGGCUAUUCCAAAAGCUGUUGCCUGUACAUGGGAUAUGUUCUAUCCGGGCAGCCUUAUCAGGUCAUAGUGGUAGAGGAAGCACCUAGCCUUGAAGAGACUUGAAGUACCAGGCUGGGGAGGAUACCAAAGGGGGGCCUAACUGGCUUAGAGGAAAAGGGGAGUGGGGAAUGAGGGAAGGAUUGUAAGGGGGUGACCAGGAGGGGGGCAGUAAGCAGGAUGUAAAGUGAAUAAGCAAUAAAAAAAAAUUAAAAAAAGAAAAAAAGAAUGAAGCACCCGUGGGCUGGUCAGGAUGAGUUGGACAAGCUCAGAAUUGGUCUAGUUCUAAGACGAGGGUGUGGGGUGUUUUAGAGAUGUCUGUCACACUCAAGUCUGGAAGGAAGGUGGUGUUCUGAGGAAUGUGGGUGGUGUGUCUCAGUAAUAGGGAUUGAAUUGUACAUAAGCUGCUUCAUAGAAAGGCUUGCUUGAUUCCUGCAUAGUGUGUGAUACAAUUUGGUAUGAGCUUGAAUAGAAGCUUGGUAUGUGCCAAGGCCAUUGAGAGAGUAUUGACUGGCCUGCCUCCUGUUUCCCCUUUUCGCAUCCUUCCUCCCUCCCUCCCCUCCCUCCCUCCCUCCCCUCCCUCCCUCCCUCCCUUCCUCCCUCCUUCCCUUCCCCUUUUCCCCUCCUCACUUCCUCCAUCCUUCCUUCCCUCACUCCCUCUCUUCCUUCCUUCAUUCUUCCCCACCCUAUCAUGCAUGCUGGAGGUUUGUUAGAUGUAUCAAAUUGAUGUUUUUUGGACGUGUGUCCUUUGGGAUAGAACCCAAAGUUUGGCCUACACUAGGCAAAUUCUCUGUCUCAGCUUCAUGUCUACCGCCAUUACAGUGUUUCUCUAAUGUUUCAGGGUUACCUCUCACAUUGAAAUCCACCAAAAUCUAAUCACCCAGUCCCUCAAAUAUAUUUAAAAUAUAAAAGAUUUUGCAGACAAGAAAAUGGUAUCAUGCACACUCCUCAGUUUCAUCAAGGAAAUUCAUUCUGAUUUAAGACUUCUCCCCCAAAUAAUUCCUGGAUAGAACCCAGGGCUUUACAGAAACUAGACAAGUGUUCACUCUAGAGCCAUGGCCCCAGAUGCUUGCUGUGGACUCUAGAAAGGCACUUGACCACCAAGAGACACCUCUAGACUCUCUGUGGAGAAUUCUAGGCAGGUGCUGUACCUGUUGAACCUUGACAUGGCCUUGAGUCAAGAACUUCUAAUAUAGUUAGGUUCUUAUGUUUUGCAAGUGAGGGAGGAAAGAGACACAAAUGCCCAAAGCCCUGCUCAGGCUCGCAGAUAACCAGUGUCAACAUUAGCAUCAGUCCAACAUGGCUAUUUAAUUAGAAUCCGAUAUACAAAUUUUAGAAGAAUGUAGUGUUCUUGUGCCCCAUUUUUCUCAUCUCUAAAAUGGGGAUAAUAAGGAAAAAGAACCCAUGACGAAAACUGAAAUUUUCUAUAUAUAUAUUGCGGUGAGAGUAAGAACUAGGAUUAAAAGGAGGACUAAAGGUUAAAGUGUCAGAGUCUGGAAUACCAAGGAAGAAGGGUAGUAGCUGGUAUGAGAUAAGCAAACUGAACAGAUAAGAGGAGGGAGAGGGUUCUGGGUCAGUGAUGAUAGGCUGGCUUUCCCAGAGCCUCUGAAGCCCUUGAGACACACGGAAGUCUCACAUAUCAAGACUUCUAAUGCAGCUGUUUGUAACAGAUUAAGUAGUUUUUAAGGCACUUAAAAGAUACUUUUAAGAUAUCUUAAAAGAUAGCUUUUUAAAAUUAAUUGUUUUGUUUGUUUACAUUCCUAGGGGACCCCCUUCCUGGGCCCCCUCCAAGAGUUCUUCAUCCCAUCCCCCAUCUCCUUUGCCUCUGAGACAGUGUUCCCUACUACCCCCAGUCCCCUCAAUCCGCCAACCUCCCACCUCCUUUCCCUGGGGCAUCACAGGGAUUAUGCACACCCUCUCCCACUGAGGCCAGACAAGGCAGUCCUCUCCUACCUAUGUGCCAUGGGCCACAGACCAGUCCAUGUAUGCUUUUUGGUUGGUGGCUCAGUCUCUGGGAGUCUAUACCUAUUGUAGGAGACUACUCCAGACAGAAUACCUAUAAACAAGGAGCUAAAUAGAGACAACCAAGAAGACAGCUGCCUCACCUUUUUGGUUAUGACAGGCAAUUUCACUGCCAUGGUAAAAUGACAAGGGGAUAAGAAUAUUAGGGACAUGUUCCAGGACAGAGGUAGAAACUCCAGCCACUAACCUACAGCUCACAGAGUCAAGCUAAGUAGCUAGCAAAGCAGAGGGGCCUCCAGCCAGCAGUGCAUAACCAUCCAUGGUUGGUGACAGAGCAUGUGGGCCCUGAAUUGGCCGAGCUGAGAGAAUGAACCAACCUCACAUCAGUUAUCUAGGCUGCUGUCUACUCUUUGCUAUGAAAACAAUAGACAAGGACGUUCAAUGGCUUUUCUCUCUCCUGGAAACCCCCACUAUUCUCAGGGGUGUUUCUUCAUUUUUUCCUUAACUUCUCACCUUUCCUCCACUUCUUAGUUUUCUGUAAUUCUUCUUCUUUUUAAAAUCUUAUUUGUUUUGGGUUUUGAAGUCAGGGUCUCUCUCUAUAGUUCUGUCUGACCUCUGAGUCCCUAUGUAGACCAGGUUGGCCUCAAACUCGUAGAGAUCUCCCUGAUGCUGACGCCAGUGCUGGAAUUAAAGGAAUACACCACUAUGACAGCUGGUAAUUCUCCUUAAUAAAGCUGGAGUCUGCCUUGUGUACUCCCAACAGAGUCUGGAUCUUAAACUUCACUGAUGAGAGACAGCAAACUCAGACACAAGCUCAGAUUGAUCAUUGGUGACUACUGGCUCCUUAGGACUGGGACUCAAGCACAGUUGGGCUUUGAAAGGUCUUGUCAGACCCAGAAGCUGCAGCCACCAUGACUGGUCUGUGGGAAAUCUGUGUAGAAUAAAGAGUAAGCAUAGGGGAAUAUCCUGUAGAAUUGAUUCUCUAGUACAUUGUACUUUUAUCCGUCAAGGUCUUUUAUUUUUUAGGGAGGGUCUCCCUUUGUAUUGCCCAUACAGGUCUUGAACUCUUGUACUCAAAUGAUCCUCGCACCUUAGCUCUGGAGUAGAUGGAGCUAUGGGUAUAUGCUACUUACUACACUUUACCUAAAACCAAACAGACUUAAUUAUUUUAUGAGGGUUUUGCUUUAAUGUAUGUCUGUGCACACGAGAGCAGGACAUCAGAUUCCUUGGGUUCCCUUGGUUGUUGUCUGCUAAGAACUCAAUUGGAUUCUUUGGGAGAACAGUCAGCGUAAGUUCCCGCUGUUUAAAAAUUGGAGACAUAAAUUAAUCCCUCAACCUAUGGCAGCUACAGUGUAGCACAAAUGUAAGUCUGAAUUAAGGAACUCUUGCCACCUAGUGGCCAUUUGGGGAAUAACAGUUUUAAAAAAAUGAUUUAGUCUCUCAUCCUAACCUCAGCCUCUCCUCCUUCCCUUCCUCUCAACCACUUACAACCUCCCCACUCUCCCUGGUGCAUUGCCCUUCUAUUUUCCUUCAGAAAAGAGCGGGCCUCCCAGUUAUACCAACUGAAUUUGUCAUAAUAAGAUGCAAGGACAUAUCAACGCUGUAGCAACUCAGUAGGAGAAAAUGGUUCCUAUAAGCAGGCAAAAGGAGCAAAGAUAUCUCCAUACCGAUUGUUUGGAGUCCAAUAAAAAUCCCAAGUUAAAGAAUCACAGAAUGUGCGAAGAAGAGCCUGGUGCAGACGCAUGCAGGCGCUAUGGUUGCCGCUUCAGUCUCCGUGGGUCCCUAAUGAGCCCUGCUUAGUUGAUUCUGUGGACCGUGUUCUCUGGUGUCUUCUCUGCUCCUGGUUCCUACAAUCAUUCCUCCUCUUCUGUGGGUUUCUCGGAGCUUCACCUAAAGCUUGGGCGUUGGUCUUUGUAUCUGCUCCCACUGGCUGCUCGAGGAAGCCUCUCUAUGACAGUACUGCCAAGAAUACGCAUAGGGGAAUACCGUUAGUGAUCAUUUCAUUGACCUUUUUAGUUUUGGGUCAGUAGCGUUUGGUUCUACCCUUGGUCUCUGAGUCAUCCAGGUUUUGGAUCCUGGCCACCUAGGCAGUGGGCUCCAUGCAUGGGCUCCUUCGGGUGGUGUGGUCCUUAGGUUAGACCAGGCAUUGAUUGGGCAAGCUCUGAGCCACCAUUACCCCAGCUCAUCUUGUAGGCAGGGCAGGCUGUGGGUCAUAGAUUUUUAUGGCUGGGUUGGUGUCCCAGUCCUACCACCGGGAGUACCUAGUUUAGGCUCCAAAUCCUCCCUUACCAGGAGUCAUCACUAGGUUCAGCCUCAUAGGUUUCCACUGUACUAGGUUUCCAUAUUGUCCCCUAAAUAUCCACCUAUUUCAGUCAUCUCUCCUUGUACUCUCCCCUACUUGAGCCCUCCUGUUCCCAUCCCUACCUGCCCUUAAUCCACCCACAAAAUCUAUUCUAUUUCUCCUUCCUAGGGAGAUCCAUGUGUCACCACUGGACUUCUCUUUAUUUAACUUCUCUGGAUCUGCAGGUAGUAGCUUGAUUAUCCUUUAUUUAAUAGCUAAUAUCAAUAUUAUGCCAUGUUUGUCUUUCUAGAUCUGGGUUGCUCACUCAGGAUGAUUUUUCUCUAGAUCCAUCCAUUUGCCUGUAAAUUUCAUGAUGUCAUUUUUUCCCCCUAACAGCUCAGUAAUACUCCAUUGUGUAAAUGUCUUAGUUAGGGUUUUACUGCUGUAAAUAGACACCAUGUCCAAGGCAACUCUUAGAAGGACAACAUUUAAUUGAGGAUAGCUUAUAGGGUCAGAGGUUUAGUUCAUUAUCAUCAAGGCAGGAACAUGGCAACAUGCAGGCAGGCAUGGUGCAGGAGGAGCUGAGAGUUCUACAUCUUUAUCUAUUGCUAGCAGAAUACUGCCUUUCAGUAGCUAGGACGGGGGUAUUAAAGCCCACACCUAGAGUAACAUGCCUAUUCCAACAGGGCUACAUUUCCUAUAGUGCCACUCCCUGGGCCAAGCAUAUACAAACUAUCACAUUCUACUCCCUGACUCCCAUCCACUUGUUCAAAUGCACAGGUCUAUGGAGGUCAUACCUAUCCAUAGCAUAGUAAAAGAACACAUUUAGUCCAACUUCCAAACCCUCAUGGUCUAUAGCAGUUACAACAAUGUUAAAAGUCCAAAGUUCAAAGUCUCUUCUGAGAUUUAUCCAAUCCCUCAACUUGUAAUGUCCAAAGCAAGACAGGAAACCAGCUGGGCAAACUCCAAACUCUGCAUCCCCAUGUCUGGUGUCAAAGCAGUUUUCAGAUCUCCACCUCCUUUUUCAUCUUUGUUGACUGCAACAAACUUCUUUCUCCUGAGCUGGUUCUGUGAGGCCAAACCUUGGGACAGGCCUCCAUCUUAAAGAAAAAACAAACAAACAAACAAACAAACAAACAAACAAAAAAGCCUGAGAACUUGACCUGCAGCUGAACCCAAGCUGCACCUAGUACCAGGAAGGACUCCUUGGCUUGUCCUUGACCCAUACCCCAGAUUCAGUCCCUAGCUACUUCCUAGCAACAGUCAAUCAAAGGUUAGUCUGACUGUUUCAGAUGUGCUUUCAGCCCGUUUGUGACUGUAUGUUUGCUUCCGAUCACCCACCUGUCGGCUUAUAGUCAUUCUAUUAGAUACUUGCCAGAGUGGACACCCCCUCCUUCACUCCCUCCCCCGCCUUGCUCCUAUUUUCCUGUAAAAACUGCUGAGGAGGAGUCUGCUCUGCCUUCUUUUCCUGUACUCCUGUGUCAGGGUUGGGUUAGAGGAGAGCCCAAGUCUGAACUUGUAAUAAAGAGGCCCUAAUGCUAUAACAUUGGAAACGGCUCCUUAUUGUUCUUUUGGGGUUCAUGAACGCUUCCUGGGACAACAUUUUGGUGCAUUGGCCGGGAACUCCAAGGCCUCCAGGACUGGACGCAGAGUUCCUCAAUACCAGUAAUGUUCAUCUUAGUCUGUGAGCCUGUCCAUGUGUUUAUGUAGCGCUGUGGUAAUUUUGUCUGUGUCUGUGCAGUGUCGGUCUUUGUUCAUAAAUUCUGAGCGGUGCCACAUCUAUAAUUCUGUUCUGAAAAGAGGCCUAAGAAGGUAUUUUGUGGUCAGAUGCAACUGGGUAGAUGUGACAAAGGGUUGUGACCGCUCAGGGGCUGGAAGACGUUCUGGGCCCUGAUCAGGAGGUCUCAGUGUCUCACUCUGGGUGGGGUGCUUGAGUUGACCGUCUGGUUACAGAUCUGCUUCGGUUCAUGUUUGUCAUCAACUCUGUUUGAGCUAACUGUUGUGUACUUUCAUUUUUCUUAUUAUGGGGCAACUUUGACUUUGAUGGAUGAUGUUGGGUCUACAGGAUCUGCCCUCUGGGCUUAAACUUUUUCUCCCUGGAUGUUUGUGCCUUGGCUAGCAAAAAGCCCAAGGGUAUGAAGGAGGAGACACCAGACCACCUAUCUCUUCCUACACUAUCACUCCACCUGGUCUUCCAAGGAGGGGCAGAGGAAGAUGUCAUUUUUUCACACCCACCUUAUUCAACCCCUCAGGCAGAAUGGCAGCAGCUGCAGGCAGCCCUGCCUUCUGAUUAUGAGUCUGCCAUCCUGCCUUCCCAUGCAUCAGGGCUGGUUGGUGACCAAGGAAACCAACCUCAUCACUAUUGGCCCUUUGCUACCAGUGACCCUUUUCUACCGGAGAACUCAGAACUCCCCUCUUUUUCAGACAACCCUCGAGGUUUAAUUAAUUCCUUAGAGACAGUCCUUUUCACCCACCAGCCCGCUUGAGAUGAUUGUAAAGAGGUCUUGCAGGCUUUCUUCACCACAGACAGAAGCCAGGAAGCUGGUUCCUGGCCCCAGAGGGAAACCUACCCAGAUUAGGACUUCAUUACUGCUAAAGGUAAGCAGAGACUCUAAGUCUUACUGCCAGGCUCUGAUUGGUAGGUCUCAAAGUGGCUGUGAGACAGCCAUUAAUUUGGCCAAAAGAUAAUCGAAAACAGUGCUAGCUGUAGCCUUUAUUAAUCAAUCAGACAGGAAACUCUAAAGGGUUCAAGGACUUAAAAAAUAAUGGCAGAAAAAGUGUUUAUUAAAGAUAAAAAAAAAAGGACAGGGUAAAAGAACAUAAGAAACAGACUCUGAGUACGUGUGUGUAUAUUGGCACAUAUGUACCAUAGUGUGCAUGAAGUCAGAGAACAACUUUUGGGACUUGGUUCUCUCCUACCAUGUGUGUUUCAGGGAUUUCACACAGGUGGUCAUGCUUGGAGACAAGUGCCACCUCACUGGCCCCUCUCCAUAUUAUAUUUUUGAGGCAAAGUCUCUCUGAAUCUAGGGUUCUGUGAUUGGCUAGACUGACUGCUCAGUGAGCUCUGAAGAUUCUCUUGCCUCUACUCCCUCAGUUCUGGGGUUAUAGAUGUGUACUACCACACCUAACUAAGCUGUAUUUACCUUGUCCCCCAACUCCUUCCAGAUCUAUUCUCUUUACACUCACCUCCUCGCUAUACAGCUUCCUGUUGUCUUCCUCCUCUUCCUCUUUGUGGUGGUUUGAAUAGAUUUGGCUCCUAGAGACUCAUAUGUUUGAAUGCUUGGUCCAUGGGGAAUGGCACUAUUAGGAGGUGUGGCCUUGUUGGAGAAAGUAUGUCACUGUAGGGGUGGAUUUUGAGGUCCUAGGCUGAAGAUCCACGUAGUGUGGAAUUUCAGAACCUUCUCCUGCCUGCCUGCAGAAGGUUGGCUCCUCCUGGAUGCAUUUGAAUCAAGAUGUAGAACUCUCAGUUCCUUCUCUAGCAUCAUGUCUGCCUAGAUGCUGCCAAACUUCCCACCAUAAUGAUAAUGGAUUGAACCUCUGAAACUGUAAGU
Molecule: long non-coding RNA, 22159 nt
Organism: Rattus norvegicus (Norway rat)
Lineage: Eukaryota; Metazoa; Chordata; Mammalia; Rodentia; Muridae
Source: RefSeq, a predicted model, not a curated record